UUGUAUAUUAGAUCUGAAAUUAAUUUUCAAUUAAUUGUAUGAUAAAUUAUAAAAAUAUUUUAUAAAAUUUAAAACUAUUUUCAAAUAUCAAAUCCCAACCCAUGUCAACCUAAAACUUAAUUGAGAAUUAAGUGAUCUAGAUUUUAGAAUCAAAGAUCUAAGGCCUAUUUUCAUAAAUCAUGAAUUUAUAGGUUAGCUCGAGUC
This 204-nucleotide long non-coding RNA is filed under the name Elaeis guineensis (African oil palm). RNAcentral describes it as "long non-coding RNA (EGUI_LNC070411)". Lineage: Eukaryota; Viridiplantae; Streptophyta; Magnoliopsida; Arecales; Arecaceae. The record is from RNAcentral.